Molecule: ribosomal RNA, 640 nt
Filed under: Ralstonia sp. M47C2Ab
Lineage: Bacteria; Pseudomonadati; Pseudomonadota; Betaproteobacteria; Burkholderiales; Burkholderiaceae
Description: bacterial SSU rRNA
Rfam family: Bacterial small subunit ribosomal RNA
Source: RNAcentral
CAUGCAAGUCGAACGGCAGCAUGAUCUAGCUUGCUAGAUUGAUGGCGAGUGGCGAACGGGUGAGUAAUACAUCGGAACGUGCCCUGUAGUGGGGGAUAACUAGUCGAAAGAUUAGCUAAUACCGCAUACGACCUGAGGGUGAAAGUGGGGGACCGCAAGGCCUCAUGCUAUAGGAGCGGCCGAUGUCUGAUUAGCUAGUUGGUGGGGUAAAGGCCCACCAAGGCGACGAUCAGUAGCUGGUCUGAGAGGACGAUCAGCCACACUGGGACUGAGACACGGCCCAGACUCCUACGGGAGGCAGCAGUGGGGAAUUUUGGACAAUGGGCGAAAGCCUGAUCCAGCAAUGCCGCGUGUGUGAAGAAGGCCUUCGGGUUGUAAAGCACUUUUGUCCGGAAAGAAAUGGCUCUGGUUAAUACCUGGGGUCGAUGACGGUACCGGAAGAAUAAGGACCGGCUAACUACGUGCCAGCAGCCGCGGUAAUACGUAGGGUCCAAGCGUUAAUCGGAAUUACUGGGCGUAAAGCGUGCGCAGGCGGUUGUGCAAGACCGAUGUGAAAUCCCCGAGCUUAACUUGGGAAUUGCAUUGGUGACUGCACGGCUAGAGUGUGUCAGAGGGGGGUAGAAUUCCACGUGUAGCAGUG